GGGCCUGUAGCUCAACGGCAGAGCGACCGGCUCAUAACCGGUUGGUUGCAGGUUCGAAUCCUGCCGGGCCCACCA
Molecule: transfer RNA, 75 nt
Filed under: Pseudomonadota bacterium
Lineage: Bacteria; Pseudomonadati; Pseudomonadota
Also listed under: 1 other name
Description: tRNA-Ile
Rfam family: tRNA
About the family: Transfer RNA (tRNA) molecules are approximately 80 nucleotides in length. Their secondary structure includes four short double-helical elements and three loops (D, anti-codon, and T loops).
Source: RNAcentral